This 424-nucleotide ribosomal RNA is filed under the name uncultured bacterium. Its description in RNAcentral is "partial 16S ribosomal RNA". It matches the Rfam family "Bacterial small subunit ribosomal RNA", at positions 360 to 776 of the family's 1533-position model. The record is from RNAcentral.
AAUUUUGGACAAUGGGGGAAACCCUGAUCCAGCCAUCCCGCGUGUAUGAUGAAGGCCNNNGGGUUNUCAAGUACUUUUGGCAGNGAGNAAAAGGUAUCUCCUAAUACGAGAUACUGCUGACGGUAUCUGCAGACUAAGCACCGGCUAACUACGUGCCAGCAGCCGCGGUAAUACUUAGGGUGCAAGCGUUAAUCGGAAUUACUGGGGGUAAAGCAAGUGUAGGCAGUUCGGAAAGAAAGAUGUGAGAUCCAAGGGCUCAACCUUGGAACUGCAUUUUUAACUGCCGGGCUAGAGUAUGUCAGAGGGGGGUAGAAUUACACGUGUAGCAGUGAAAUGCGUAGAUAUGUAGAGGAAUACCGAUGGCGAAGGCAGCCCCCUGGGAUAAUACUGACGCUCAGACACGAAAGCGUGGGGAGCAAACAGG